CCUACGGGAGGCAGCAGUGGGGAAUAUUGCGCAAUGGGCGAAAGCCUGACGCAGCGACGCCGCGUGAGGGAUGAAGGUCCUCGGAUCGUAAACCUCUGUCAGCAGGGAAGAACGGUCACUGUGCUAAUCAGCAGUGAAUUGACGGUACCUGCAAAGGAAGCACCGGCUAACUCCGUGCCAGCAGCUGCGGUAAUACGGGGGGUGCGAGCGUUAAUCGGUAUUACUGGGCGUAAAGCGCUCGUAGGCGGUAUGUCAAGUCAAGGGGGAAAUCCCCGCGCUCAACGUGGGAACUGCCUUUGAAACUGGCAAACUGGAGUGUGUGAGAGGAUAGUGGAAUUCCAGGUGUAGGAGUGAAAUGCGUAGAUAUCUGGAGGAACAUCAGUGGCGAAGGCGACUAUCUGGCACAUAACUGACGCUGAGGAGCGAAAGCGUGGGUAGCAAACAGGAUUAGAUACCCUAGUAGUC
This 465-nucleotide ribosomal RNA is filed under the name uncultured bacterium. Its description in RNAcentral is "partial 16S ribosomal RNA". It matches the Rfam family "Bacterial small subunit ribosomal RNA", at positions 338 to 795 of the family's 1533-position model. The record is from RNAcentral.